This 253-nucleotide ribosomal RNA is filed under the name uncultured bacterium. RNAcentral's name for it is "partial 16S ribosomal RNA". It matches the Rfam family "Bacterial small subunit ribosomal RNA", at positions 524 to 776 of the family's 1533-position model. The record is from RNAcentral.
UACGAAGGGUGCAAGCGUUACUCGGAAUCACUGGGCGUAAAGCGUGCGUAGGCGGUUUCUUAAGUCUGUCGUGAAAUCCCUCGGCUUAACCGGGGAACUGCGUCUGAUACUGGAUGGCUUGAGAUUGGGAGAGGGAUGCGGAAUUCCAGGUGUAGCGGUGAAAUGCGUAGAUAUCUGGAGGAACACCGGUGGCGAAGGCGGCAUCCUGGACCAACACUGACGCUGAGGAGCGAAAGCCAGGGGAGCAAACGAG